CCCUUAGACGUUCUGGGCCGCACGCGCGCUACACUGACCAGUGCAACAAGCAUCCGUCCUUGGCCGACAGGCUCGGGCAAUCUUUGAACGCUGGUCGUGAUGGGGAUAGACUUUUGCAAUUUUUGGUCUUCAACGAGGAAUUCCUAGUAAACGCAAGUCAUCAACUUGCAUUGAUUACGUCCCUGCCCUUUGUACACACCGCCCGUCGCACCUACCGAUUGAAUGGUCCGGUGAAGCCUCCGGAUUGGUGCGCACCUCGGUGCCGCCGAGAAGUUGGCUAAACCUUACCAUUUAGAGGAAGGUGAAGUCGUAACA
This 315-nucleotide ribosomal RNA is filed under the name uncultured eukaryote. Its description in RNAcentral is "partial 18S ribosomal RNA". It matches the Rfam family "Eukaryotic small subunit ribosomal RNA", at positions 1470 to 1796 of the family's 1831-position model. The record is from RNAcentral.